This 379-nucleotide unclassified non-coding RNA is filed under the name uncultured Alphaproteobacteria bacterium. RNAcentral's name for it is "contains 16S-23S intergenic spacer region". Lineage: Bacteria; Pseudomonadati; Pseudomonadota; Alphaproteobacteria. The record is from RNAcentral.
UCCGGCUUAUCACCGGCAGUCGCCUUAGAGUGCCCAACUAAAUGAUGGCAACUAAGGCCGAGGGUUGCGCUCGUUGCGGGACUUAACCCAACAUCUCACGACACGAGUUGACGACAGCCAUGCAGCACCUGUGUUCCCGCCAGCCGAACUGAAGAGCUCCAUCUCUGGUGCUCAUACGGGACAUGUCAAAAGUUGGUAAGGUUCUUCGCGUUGCUUCGAAUUGAACCACAUGCUCCACCGCUUGUGCGGGCCCCCGUCAAUUCCUUUGAGUUUUAAUCUUGCGACCGUACUCCCCAGGCGGGAUGCUUAAAGCGUUAGCUGCGCCACUGACGAGCAAGCUCGCCAACGGCUAGCAUCCAUCGUUUAGGGCUAGGACUAC